UGCCAGCAGCCGCGGUAAUACGGAGGGGGCGAGCGUUAUUCGGAAUUAUUGGGCGUAAAGGGCGCGUAGGUGGCAUGGCAAGUCAGGGGUGAAAUCCCUCGGCUCAACCGAGGAACUGCCUCUGAAACUGCCAAGCUUGAGACCGGGAGAGGGUAGUGGAAUUCCUAGUGUAGCGGUGAAAUGCGUAGAUAUUAGGAGGAACACCGGUGGCGAAGGCGGCUACCUGGACCGGUUCUGACGCUGAGGCGCGAAAGUGUGGGGAGCGAACAGGAUUAGAUA
Molecule: ribosomal RNA, 279 nt
Filed under: uncultured bacterium
Lineage: Bacteria
Description: partial 16S ribosomal RNA
Rfam family: Bacterial small subunit ribosomal RNA
Source: RNAcentral